This 1561-nucleotide long non-coding RNA is filed under the name Chrysemys picta bellii (western painted turtle). RNAcentral describes it as "lncRNA (ENSCPBG00000016820.1)". The record is from RNAcentral. Lineage: Eukaryota; Metazoa; Chordata; Testudines; Emydidae.
ACAGCAGUGCCCCCCACAUCUGUAACACCGUCCUUCCUUCCCCCCCGCCGCCGGGUCGUCUCUCCACAGGUUCCCGCUGGAACAUUUCGGGAAGCUAUAUGGGCUGGUGAUGGGCCUGUCGGCCUUGGUGUCACUCCUCCAGUACCCCUGCUUCGCACUCAUCAAGGGACCGCUCAGCGAUGACCCCUUCUAUGUGAACACUGGCCUCAUCAUCGUCAUCCUCCUGGCCUUCCUCAGUCCGCUGGUGGUGCUGCGGGAGUACCAGCGCCGGGAGAGGGAGCAGGAAAAGCAACAUGUUGACUCACCCCCCCUGACCCUGGCCAAGGCCGGUGUGGAGUCCUCCAUCUGACCCCCCACCCCCAGCCAGGAUCUUCAGGGGCUGUUCCCCCCCCAAAAGGGAAUGAGGAAAGGGAAUUAGGAGUGCAGGCUGAGCCCCAGCCAAUCCCCAGCUGUGUCCCUCCAGCCCAGCAUUGUCACCAUCAGCUCCAGCCAGGCAGGCACUCCUCUUCAGCAGCAGGGUGGUGGGUCACGCUGGGGUAUUUUUACAGAUACUUGAUUUUCUAGGUUUUUGNNNNNNNNNNAUCACACAGGAGAUACAAGUACUCCUGUUCUUCUUUUUGCGGAUACAGACUAACACGGCUGCUACUCUGAAACCUUCUAUGUGAGUGUCCUUGUAGAUAAAUCUCUGAUCAUUUUCAUAUGACUUUACAUUGUGCCUGUUCAUAUAACCUUGUAGUGGGUCUACCCAUGUGUGACCUCUGUCUUCAUGAGACUUUGUAUCAAGGCCUAAUAUAGAAACCUUGUACUGAUGAGCCUUGGUAUAUGGAAACUUUGUAUCAAAGCCUCAUGUAGAAACUUUGCAUUGCCCUUGGUAUAAUGUUAUAGCCCCUAAGGAUAGAAUAAGAUAGAAGAAAAAUGUCUUUUUGCUAGCAGUAGAACAAGAUCUCCCCCCCCCACACACACACUCUUAAUCAAUUGCCCUGUUGAAUGAAUGAGGUGUGAAUGAGGAAGGUAUGGAAGGCAGCACCUCCAAAUAGCUGCAACAGUUGGAGAGAGGCUGGGAGCCAGACCCAAGGAUGCUAAAACGUGUCAAGUGGACUCACUAAAGAAGAUCAGACAUGCUGACGGCCUCGGGGGUUAGAAGCCAGCACCUUCUUUUGGAAACACCCUCUUUGCAGCAUUGGGACAACCCCCAGAAGGAAGCAGCACAAAGGCCCAAUGGACACAGACACAGAUUUUGAAUCUGGUACAGAUUUGCAUGAGAGGGAAGCUGCUAUAAAAGUGAGGUGUCUUGCAGAGGACCCCGGGUCUCGUCUUGUCACAUGGGAGCAUCGAUCCGGAUCAGCAGAAGACCGGCUCCACCCCUCCCCCAUCUAACUCACCUGGCCAGUGCAGUUAAGGGGAGCAACUAAUUGGUAACAACAACAAGACGGAGCAUGCUUGUAUGUGUGUAUGUGAGUGCAUGAGUGUAUAUGUGUAUAUCUCAUAUGCAUAUGAUACAGUAUUAACAAAUACAUGUAUUACUAAUAAAUGUGGCGUUUUGCCUUAUUCCCCCUGAAAA